This 230-nucleotide unclassified non-coding RNA is filed under the name Hevea brasiliensis (rubber tree). The record is from RNAcentral. Lineage: Eukaryota; Viridiplantae; Streptophyta; Magnoliopsida; Malpighiales; Euphorbiaceae.
CGACGCGGAGAGAGAAAGAAAGGUAAGCUCUUUUUUUUUCCCUCCAUUUUUUUUUUCAUUUGCUAUUUUGCUUCAAUUUGUAAUAAUAUCAUUUUGAGUUCAAUGUAAAUUUUGUUUAUCAAUUUUAUGUUAAUGAAUUUUUUGAUAUUAUUAUCAAUUGUGUUUAUGGAAAUUUUUUAUUAUUAAUUUGUAAUUUGUCGUUAUUUUUUGUAACUUCCUGUGACGCUGAG